Molecule: ribosomal RNA, 253 nt
Filed under: uncultured bacterium
Lineage: Bacteria
Description: partial 16S ribosomal RNA
Rfam family: Bacterial small subunit ribosomal RNA
Source: RNAcentral
UACGUAGGGAGCAAGCGUUGUUCGGAUUUACUGGGCGUAAAGAGCGCGCAGGCGGUCGUUCAAGUCGAGUGUGAAAGCCCCCGGCUCAACUGGGGAGGGUCAUUCGAUACUGAUCGACUCGAAGGCAGGAGAGGGAAGUGGAAUUCCCGGUGUAGUGGUGAAAUGCGUAGAUAUCGGGAGGAACACCAGUGGCGAAGGCGACUUCCUGGCCUGUUCUUGACGCUGAGGCGCGAAAGCUAGGGGAGCAAACGGG